GACGAACGCUGGCGGCGUGCUUAACACAUGCAAGUCGAACGGAAAGGCCUGCUUUCCCUUGUGGAUUGCGGGUACUCGAGUGGCGAACGGGUGAGUAACACGUGAGUGAUCUGCCCCCAACUUGGGUAUAAGCCUGGGAAACUGGGUCUAAUUCCCGAUAGGACUGCAGGGUGGUGCCUGUGGUGGAAAACGAUUUUCUAGUGGUUGGGGAUGAGCUCGCGGCCUAUCAGCUUGUUGGUGGGGUAAUGGCCUACCAAGGCGGCGACGGGUAGCCGGCCUGAGAGGGUGGACGGCCACAUUGGGACUGAGAUACGGCCCAGACUGCUACGGGAGGCAGCAGUGGGGAAUAUUGGACAAUGGGCGGAAGCCUGAUGCAGCGACGCCGCGUGGGGGAUGACGGCAUUGGGGUUGUAAACUCCUUUCGACCGCGAGGAAGAAACCUGGUUGGAAGGGUGGUGACGGUAGUGGUAGAAGAAGCACCGGCUAACUACGUG
Molecule: ribosomal RNA, 494 nt
Filed under: uncultured bacterium
Lineage: Bacteria
Description: partial 16S ribosomal RNA
Rfam family: Bacterial small subunit ribosomal RNA
Source: RNAcentral